AGCACCUACGGUGGCCCCACAAUCGUUCAGGCAUAAGGAUAUUGGAUCCGACUACGUUUUGCUGGAAUGGGACACAGUUCAUCAUAGGCCGAUCGAGGGAUACAAGCUAAGCUAUUGGUACGAAGACGGGAGUAAGACACGCGUAAAACGCGCGGUUAGUUCGUGUGUGGGAGAAAAGAACGCGUGCGUAACCUUUAUCAAAAA
Molecule: long non-coding RNA, 204 nt
Organism: Xenia sp. Carnegie-2017
Lineage: Eukaryota; Metazoa; Cnidaria; Anthozoa; Malacalcyonacea; Xeniidae
Exons: 2
Source: RefSeq, a predicted model, not a curated record